CGUCCUUUGGGAAAGGAGGACCAUUUUCAUUACCCACGAGGUGCUUUCCCAUUUACGACGGUCGAAGGCAAGAUUAAUUAAUUACUAUCAUAGUGUCCGAAACACCUGAUUUAUCGAUCAAACGGUUCUGAUUUAACAUGCCUAAGCCCUGACCUGUAAGGCUUAUGGUGUGUCAUAAAACAGUAAAAUUCAUGCCCAUGGCUUUCUAAGUUCUUCCAAAUGUUUCGCAUAUGAUUCCAAAAGAGAAGGACAUAGAUGACCUUUUAAUACUUAAUACUUUCCUAGCCAUUUUUAAACAUCAUCUGAACUCAGAGAGUCGGUGUUCCAAUCUCACUUCCACAAUCUCUCCCCCC
RNAcentral lists this long non-coding RNA (353 nucleotides) under Phoenix dactylifera (date palm). RNAcentral describes it as "long non-coding RNA (PDAC_LNC019620)". Lineage: Eukaryota; Viridiplantae; Streptophyta; Magnoliopsida; Arecales; Arecaceae. The record is from RNAcentral.